Molecule: microRNA precursor, 123 nt
Filed under: Punica granatum (pomegranate)
Lineage: Eukaryota; Viridiplantae; Streptophyta; Magnoliopsida; Myrtales; Lythraceae
Source: RNAcentral
AGGGUUGAGUGCAGCCAAGGAUGACUUGCCGGCCGAGCAGCAGCAACAAAGCAGCUUGAGCUAGCACAUGGCUUGUUCUAUCGAGCAGCCCGGCAGGUUGUCCUUGGCUACACUUGGUUCUCU